This 291-nucleotide unclassified non-coding RNA is filed under the name uncultured fungus. Its description in RNAcentral is "partial contains small subunit ribosomal RNA, internal transcribed spacer 1, and 5.8S ribosomal RNA". The stretch from base 1 to 73 matches the Rfam family "Eukaryotic small subunit ribosomal RNA", at positions 1759 to 1831 of the family's 1831-position model. Lineage: Eukaryota; Fungi. The record is from RNAcentral.
GCAAACUUGGUCAUUUAGAGGAAGUAAAAGUCGUAACAAGGUUUCCGUAGGUGAACCUGCGGAAGGAUCAUUAGAAAAUAACCAGCCUGGCUGGUGAAUAAUUCUAUCCACCUUGUGUGCAAACAAUGGAAAAAAAAGAGAAAAUUGGAUACUUUUUCGUAUCCAACCUCUCUAAAGUUUUUAUAAACUCUAUCAAAUUUUGAAAUGAAAACUAUUUUUUUUUUUAAUAAAAAAUAUUAUACAACUUUCAACAACGGAUCUCUUGGCUCUCGCAUCGAUGAAGAACGCAGC